This 484-nucleotide ribosomal RNA is filed under the name uncultured bacterium. RNAcentral describes it as "partial 16S ribosomal RNA". It matches the Rfam family "Bacterial small subunit ribosomal RNA", at positions 30 to 507 of the family's 1533-position model. The record is from RNAcentral.
AUUGAACGCUGGCGGCAGGCCUAACACAUGCAAGUCGAGCGGAUGAAGGGAGCUUGCUCCUGGAUUCAGCGGCGGACGGGUGAGUAAUGCCUAGGAAUCUGCCUGGUAGUGGGGGAUAACGUCGGGAAACGGGCGCUAAUACCGCAUACGUCCUGAGGGGGAAAGUGGGGGAUCUUCGGACCUCACGCUAUCAGAUGAGCCUAGGUCGGAUUAGCUAGUUGGUGGGGUAAAGGCCUACCAAGGCGACGAUCCGUAACUGGUCUGAGAGGAUGAUCAGUCACACUGGAACUGAGACACGGUCCAGACUCCUACGGGAGGCAGCAGUGGGGAAUAUUGGACAAUGGGCGAAAGCCUGAUCCAGCCAUGCCGCGUGUGUGAAGAAGGUCUUCGGAUUGUAAAGCACUUUAAGUUGGGAGGAAGGGCAGUAAGUUAAUACCUUGCUGUUUUGACGUUACCAACAGAAUAAGCACCGGCUAACUUCGUG